RNAcentral lists this ribosomal RNA (327 nucleotides) under uncultured eukaryote. RNAcentral's name for it is "partial 18S ribosomal RNA". It matches the Rfam family "Eukaryotic small subunit ribosomal RNA", at positions 1470 to 1796 of the family's 1831-position model. The record is from RNAcentral.
CCCUUAGAUGUCCUGGGCCGCACGCGUUCUACAAUGACUUGUUCAGAAAGUUCUAUCCUGGUCCGGUAGGAUUUCGGGUAAUCUUUUUAAUGCAAGUCGUAUUAGGGAUCGAUCUUUGUAAUUAUAGAUCUUGAACGAGGAAUUCCUAGUAAGUACAAGUCAUCAGCUUGUACUGAUUACGUCCCUGCCCUUUGUACACACCGCCCGUCGCUUCUACCGAUCGAGUGAUACGGUGAAUGAUUCGGACCAGCGUGCUGCUCAGAUCCUGCGCAGUGUGCUGGGAAGUCUAGUGAACCUUAUCACUUAGAGGAAGGAGAAGUCGUAACA